This 212-nucleotide ribosomal RNA is filed under the name uncultured bacterium. Its description in RNAcentral is "partial 16S ribosomal RNA". It matches the Rfam family "Bacterial small subunit ribosomal RNA", at positions 524 to 735 of the family's 1533-position model. The record is from RNAcentral.
UACAGAGGUCCCAAGCGUUGUUCGGAUUCACUGGGCGUAAAGGGUGCGUAGGUGGCUUGGUAAGUUCGAUGUGAAAUCUCCGGGCUUAACCCGGAAAUGGCAUUGAAUACUAUUGAGCUGGAGGUUUGGAGGGGGGACUGGAAUUCUCGGUGUAGCAGUGAAAUGCGUAGAUAUCGAGAGGAACACCAGUGGCGAAGGCGAGUCCCUGGACA